This is a small nucleolar RNA of Metopolophium dirhodum (rose-grain aphid), 79 nucleotides long. RefSeq annotates it as small nucleolar RNA SNORD96 family. NCBI's taxonomy places the organism in Eukaryota, Metazoa, Arthropoda, Insecta, Hemiptera, Aphididae. The record is from RefSeq and is a predicted model, not a curated record. The transcript has a single exon.
UAUUAAAUGAUGAGAUUAUUUUUUGAUAACCAUCUUUCGGGUCUGAAUAAUUAUGAUGUUAACUUAUAUCCUGAUAAUA